RNAcentral lists this ribosomal RNA (460 nucleotides) under uncultured bacterium. RNAcentral's name for it is "partial 16S ribosomal RNA". It matches the Rfam family "Bacterial small subunit ribosomal RNA", at positions 338 to 795 of the family's 1533-position model. The record is from RNAcentral.
CCUACGGGUGGCAGCAGUGAGGAAUAUUGGUCAAUGGCCGGAAGGCUGAACCAGCCAUGCCGCGUGCAGGUUAGUGCCCUAUGGGCGUUAAACUUCUUUUGUGCGGGAGCAAUAAUGGUCACGUGUGGCCAGACGAGAGUACCGUACGAAUAAGCAUCGGCUAACACCGUGCCAGCAGCAGCGGUAAUACGGGGGAUGCAGGCGUUAUCCGGAUUAAUUGGGUUUAAAGGGUGCGUAGGCUGUGGGGUAAGUCAGCGGUGAAAUGCCCCCGCUCAACGGGGUGGAGCGCCAUUGAUACUGGCGUGCUGGAAUUAGAAUGCGGUGGGAGGAAUGUGUGGUGAAGCGGUGAAAUGCAUAGAUAUCACACAGAACACCGAUUGCGAAGGCAUCUCACGAAUCCGCGAUUGACGCUGAGGCACGAAAGCGUGGGUAUCAAACAGGAUUAGAUACCCUAGUAGUC